GACCCUUUCAUCUAGUGGCCAAGGAUAAUGCCCUUUCACGGCAUAAACGGAAGUUCGAAUCUUUCAAGGGUCGCCA
RNAcentral lists this transfer RNA (76 nucleotides) under Helicobacter sp. MIT 11-5569. Its description in RNAcentral is "tRNA-Glu". It matches the Rfam family "tRNA". Rfam says of the family: Transfer RNA (tRNA) molecules are approximately 80 nucleotides in length. Their secondary structure includes four short double-helical elements and three loops (D, anti-codon, and T loops). The record is from RNAcentral. Lineage: Bacteria; Pseudomonadati; Campylobacterota; Epsilonproteobacteria; Campylobacterales; Helicobacteraceae.